ACAAAGGUUUUGUUGGUGUUGAAUUUGACUGGAGAAGUGGAGUACUUACCUGAUGAAUUGGGAGAUUUGGUUCAUCUGAGGUAUUUAGGCUUGAGUAGGUCACUAAUAAAGAAGCUUCCAAGGACUAUCGGUAAUCUUCAAAACCUACAAACGUUGAAUGCAGAUAAUUGUUCAAAGCUAUUUGAACUACCUAUAGAAGUUCUAAAUAUUAAACAGCUGAGGCACCUUUUAUUGAGCCAUAAUUACCAGUAUGAUGGUGG
This 260-nucleotide unclassified non-coding RNA is filed under the name Hevea brasiliensis (rubber tree). Lineage: Eukaryota; Viridiplantae; Streptophyta; Magnoliopsida; Malpighiales; Euphorbiaceae. The record is from RNAcentral.